GACGAACCGUGCGAACGUUGUUCGGAAUCACUGGGCUUAAAGGGCGCGUAGGCGGCUUGCCAAGUCAGGGGUGAAAUCUUGCGGCUCAACCGUAAUAAGCCUUUGAUACUGGCAGGCUCGAGGGAGGUAGGGGCAUGUGGAACUUCUGGUGGAGCGGUGAAAUGCGUUGAUAUCAGAAGGAACGCCGGUGGCGAAAGCGACGUGCUGGAUCUCUUCUGACGCUGAGGAGCGAAAGCUAGGGUAGCGAACGGG
Molecule: ribosomal RNA, 252 nt
Filed under: uncultured bacterium
Lineage: Bacteria
Description: partial 16S ribosomal RNA
Rfam family: Bacterial small subunit ribosomal RNA
Source: RNAcentral